Molecule: ribosomal RNA, 1437 nt
Filed under: Dolichodorus rex
Lineage: Eukaryota; Metazoa; Nematoda; Chromadorea; Rhabditida; Dolichodoridae
Description: SSU rRNA
Source: RNAcentral
GAGGAGCGCAUUUWUUCGCCACAAAACCAAGCGGCUUCGGCCGUUCUGUGUUGACUCAGAAUAACUGUCAGCUGAUCGCACGGUCUUGCACCGGCGACGUGUCUUUCAAGCAUCUGCCUUAUCAACUUUCGACGGCAGGGUAAGUGCCUGCCGUGGUUGUGACGGGUAACGGAGGAUCAGGGUUCGACUCCGGAGAAGGGGCCUGAGAAAUGGCCACUACGUCUAAGGAUGGCAGCAGGCGCGCAAAUUACCCACUCUCAAUACGAGGAGGUAGUGACGAGAAAUAACAAGGCCGUUCUCCUAAGAGGCCGGCCAUUGGAAUGGGUACAAUUUAAACCCGUUAACGAGUAUCAAUGAGAGGGCAAGUCUGGUGCCAGCAGCCGCGGUAAUUCCAGCUCUCAAAAUGCAUAGAACCAUUGCUGCGGUUAAAAAGCUCGUAGUUGGAUCUGUGCCGGCACGGCGGUCCAUCUUCGGAUGCGCACUGCYCGCUGCCGGCUUCACCUCAGUCGUUUGGCUGCCGGGUGGGCUUCGCCGCUCGCUCGGCCAGUCGCGGCAACUUUACCUUGAGCAAAUAAGAGUGCUUAAAACAGGCGUUUGCCUGCAUUUUUUACCAUGGAAUAAUAGAACACGAUCGCGGUCCUGUUUUAUUGGUUUUCUCAGGCCGAGAUAAUGGUUAACAGAGACAGCCGGGGGCAUUCGUAUUGCGGCGUGAGAGGUGAAAUUCUUGGACCGCCGCACGACGGACUACAGCGAAAGCAUUUGCCAAGAGUGUCUUCAUUAAUCAAGAACGAAAGUCAGAGGUUCGAAGGCGAUCAGAUACCGCCCUAGUUCUGACCGUAAACGAUGCCAACUUGCGAUCCGCCGGCCGAAUUAUCGCGCUGGUGGGGAGCAUUCCGGAAACGAAAGUCUUCCGGUUCCGGGGGAAGUAUGGUUGCAAAGCUGAAACUUAAAGGAAUUGACGGAAGGGCACCACCAGGAGUGGAGCCUGCGGCUUAAUUUGACUCAACACGGGGAAACUCACCCGGCCCGGACACCGUAAGGAUUGACAGAUUGAGAGCUCUUUCAUGAUUCGGUGGUUGGUGGUGCAUGGCCGUUCUUAGUUCGUGGAGCGAUUUGUCUGGUUUAUUCCGAUAACGAGCGAGACUCUGGCCUACUAAAUAGUGUACGCAUUGCUGCUGUGCGUUCAGCACUUCUUAGAGGGAUUUUCGGUGUUCAGCCGCACGAAAUUGAGCAAUAACAGGUCUGUGAUGCCCUUAGAUGUCCGGGGCUGCACGCGCGCUACACUGGCAAAAUCAGCGUGCUUGUCCUGCGCCGAAGGGCGCGGGUAAACCCUUGAAAAUUUGCCGUGAUUGGGAUCGGGAAUUGCAAUUAUUUCCCGUGAACGAGGAAUUCCAAGUAAGUGCCAGUCAUCAGCUGGCGUUGAUUACGUCCCUGCCC